UUUUUCUUUUUUUUUUUUUUUUUUUUGAGACAGAGUCUUACUCUGUUGCCCAGGCUGGAAAGCAAUGGCGCGAUCUUGGCUCACUACACGCUCCAUCUCCCAGGUUCAAGCAAUUCUCCUGCCUCAGCCUCCUGAGUAGCUGAGACUACAGGCACGGAGGCUGAGGCAAGAGAAUUGCUUGAACCCAGGAGGCGGAGGUUGCAGUGAGCUGAGAUAGUGCCAUUGCACUCCAGCCUGAGGGCCAAGAGCAAGACUUUGUCUAAAAAAAAUUAAUUAAUUAAUUUAAAAAAAUCUUUGAAACAUUUUGAAAAAAGAAAAAUUGUACUAAUGUCAAAAUUCUUUGAAGCCCCAAUUAAUAAUCCUUGUGUACACCUGAAUUUCUAACUCACACAUUUGUCUAAUACAGUGACUGACUAAACCCCACAUAUAACAUUAAUAUUUUUAAUUAUAGAAAUCAAAUGGUAGUAAGCUUAUAUGUAAUUGGAAUUUUUGUUAAAAGUUUGCCUAUCACUAGAAAUUCAGCUGUUAAAACAAACAUAUAAAGUUCUAAAGAAUAAACACCUUUGGUCUCGGAGGACAAAACAUUAACCAAGAAUAAGAAUCAAAUAGCUACAUUUCCAAAUGUAAGUCAACAAGAGCUCAUAAUACAGAAUCUUAGAGAACAUCAAGAAUAAUAAAUAUUUGUAAAAUACAGUGUCCCAUUACUUGUGAGAAUAUACUGAUAGUCCAUCAUAACUGGAAAAAGUUCAAAAUACUGCACAUACUUCAACAAAGAAUAAAAAGAUUAUAAUUAUGGACCAGUAACUAGAACAAAUUAAUGAACAAAUCAAUUUAUAAUUAACUGGAAAAGUACAUGCAGUGGAUCAACUGAAAUGGAUUAGGAAAAACAAAUACUCUAUAACAAUUUGCAUUAAUACUUCAUCUACUUAGAAUUCUGUCAUAUGACUAAAUCACCUUUCCACAAUACAAUCAGGAGCAUGAAAUAAAAACAUGCUCCUGGGUCAUCAAAAUCAAUGCCAUAAAUUCCACACAUUAAAGCAUUUUAUGCACAGGCCAAUCCCUUAGGCUGUCACUUGGAACCUAACUGUUCUACUUUGAAAUUGUCCUGAUCGGUUUUUUUUUUCUUUUUCCUGAUUCCCUAACCCAUAGCAAGUUGGAAAUAGCAAGUUAGAGAAAACAUAGGAAAGAAUAGUAAAAACAGUUAAUAGCCAAGCAGAAAACUGAAGGAGUCUUCUCUAGGGAAUCUAAUCAGUCCAAGAGGAAUUCUCUAAAGAUACUAACAAAAGAUACUGACAAAAGUUACCCCAAGAAAAGAGCUCAAGCAGAUCACCCUGCAAUGAAAUAAUAUGCCCAGAUCUUUAAUCUGCAUGCUCAACUUUCAAUGUUUUAGUCUGCCACUUUGCAUUAUAAGCACGUAUACAAUGAACAGUCAUCUAAGAAAAGCUGAGGUGUUUUAAAACCUCAGGUGUUAAAAGAGAAGUUAGAAAUCAAAACAAUAAUAAAGAAGUAUUCAGAGAAAACUUUAAAAAAUCUAUCAUUAAAAUUCUCAGAUACAAAAAAAUGCUCCAUCUAUUAAAUAAGAACAGGACGCUGCAAAAAGAAAAAGAAUUCUUAAUAAUUAACAUGAAAGAAGAAAAUAAUAUGAGUUGUAAAAUGAAAUCUCCCAGAAAGUAAAAUGUCAAAAAUAAAAAACGAAAAAAAAGAUAAGAAACAGAGGACUAGAAUAGGAGGCAAAACUUCCAAAUAGGAGUCUUAGAAAGAAAGGAGAGGAAAAAACUAAAGGAUGAAGUUAUUAACGAAAUGACUCUAGAGGCCUUCUCAGAAAUAAAAGAAAUCUGUUUCCAAGUUUAAAGAAUCCACUGAGUACCUAGCACAAAUGAAAAUGAGAUCUACAAUUAGCCAUAUCAUUGUGAAAUUUCAAAACAUUGGAGAAAACAGAAACUCUUACAAAUUAUCAGAGAAAAACAGCAAGAUCGCAUCAGAAUAAUGACAAAGCAGAAUGACUCAACUUCUCAAUAGCAACACCGGAAGCAAGAAGUCAAUGGAGCAAUACUUUCAAAUAAGUGAGGAAAAUUAUUUCCAACCAAGAAUUCUCUAUCCAGUAAAUCUAAGAAAGAGGGUAGAAAAAAUGUCUACAUUUUUGAAUUUAUAAGAUCUCAAAGAAUAUAUUUCUUAUGAAGUUCUAAGAUACCAGAUGACAUGUUCCCACUAACCCAAGACUAAUCCAAAAAGGAGAAUAUAGGGGAUAUAAGAAAGGAGACUCAGUACAAAUAAGAAGCAAAUGGAAUCCUCAAAACACACAGAAAUGUGAUCAUAGCAUCAGAGCUAAACAACGGAUGUAGAGAGAAUAGGCCCACAUUUCAGCAAUGUGACUCAAUAGACAAGUUGAGGGCUAUCACCAGAAGCCCCCCUAAACCCCACUCACCCACCCAAACACCUUUUUAACCUGAAGACAAGAUGCCCCAGUGAGCCUGACCAGGAUUCCUACAGCUACUUGUCCUAAUCACCUGUUAAUGGAGUUCCUACUGCAUCAAUUCCCAGUCCCACCUUGAUGUCACUAUCAGCUGAAGACAUUCCUUUCACCCUACAAUGGUCUGCUUUGAUCUACUUAUAGUGAACUUAGAAACAGGAAACAAGGAAGUGCUCAUCCCCUCUUUACAUAUUUCUGUCAGACAUCUGACACAUGACCCUCAAAACAUCCCUGUCAGUUGUUCUGAGCAUGCUAAGCCCCAUGUUUCCCAGGACCCAUUCUUGUCCUUGGCCACUAACUUCCCCAGAAAGGGCUUUGGUAAACUCCAGGAAAAAAGAAACCUGGCUAUGACCUAGACUUAGCUCAGUUUCUGUUCUUAUAGUAGCCUGCAGUGGCAACACUGCCGUGCCCUUACACAGAGGUGGGUAUACAAGUUACUCCAUUUUCAAAACAACAAUACACUGCUUUGUGCAAAACAACAAUGGGGUGGUUAGUCUAUAAAGAAGAGCCAGCAAACAUGAUGUGUUUACCUCUGAGGGUGAGAGAGAGGGAAACAACUAGGGAGGGGCACGUGGGGCUUCUAAGACACUGGUAAUGCUGUUAACCUGGAAGUUGGGUAGUUUGGAGUUCAACUUUGCUAUUCUUUACACCAUAAUACACAUUUUUAAUACUUUUCUUUAUGUGGCAUACAUCUGACAAUUUAAAAAAAAAAAAAAAAAAAAAAAA
Molecule: long non-coding RNA, 3196 nt
Organism: Macaca fascicularis (crab-eating macaque)
Lineage: Eukaryota; Metazoa; Chordata; Mammalia; Primates; Cercopithecidae
Source: Ensembl